CGUCUUUCUCACAGCAGGCUUGCCCGCUUUGGCAGAGGCCAUCCGCCGUCGAAGCAGACGGUGACAGGCACCUGCCAAAUCAGCGUUAUCACGGCUGUCUUUUCUUGUGCAAGCGCCGCACCGCGACGCUGCCGUCGAUCAUUCAGGAUGCUUCGUCAGCUGAGCAUCCGGCAGGCGCCAAAGGUGGAGCUCAUCUCCCCAACACCGUCCGCGCCGAUUCAGAACUUCGACUUGCGACCGAUAGCCGCGUCGCUCCUGUACCGGAAACUCCUGAAGCUGUACUUGCGCAAAUUCGACACGGACACCAACACAAUCAUUCGCGCAUGGAAGCAGACCAAGUACGAGUUCUGGGUACACCGUAACGUGUCCAAGGAGGAAGCCGAUUUGCUAAAUAUAAAGGGCCAGCAAGUGCUGGAGGCGAUUCGCGCCGGCCUCGUGCCGGUGUACCAUAACUCAAAGACGAAUCAGACCUACUACAAGUACGACGCCGACACGCUGAACGCUGUACACAACCAUGUAGACCCCGUGAGCGCCGAAGAAUUCCUUCGCCGCUUCCACGACCGAAUGGACUCAAGGGAUGUGGAAGAGAUCAAAGCCACGCUGAAGAAGCUCGGGCGCUGGACAGGGCCGGACGAACUCCGGAAGGAGGACCUCUUUCGCGUCAAAACCAAGCGCAAGGUCAAGUGCACCGACCCAGACGAGUGAGCCCAUCACCUUGCCCGCAGAGAGAUCGCGCGCGCGCGAGAGAGUCCAGAAGCGUGGAACGGCGGGCUCUUUGUCUCACAGUUGUUGCUGCACCCUUGCCAAAUGCCGGCCCACCUCUGGUGGUGGCAAGGGUUAAGCGCGUACGACAGAAGGGAGUCCGGGGCGAUGCAUCGCUGCCGAUGCCCGCGGCCAGGUCCUGGAUGGCACGUCGCCGAAGAGACCUGCGUUCAGCGAACGCGCCUGCGCUAUCCAUGUGGCUGGGCAGGGCGUCGGCGUGACUCGAGCGUACGCCUCACCCCCUGGUUCACACCGUUCGCUGGUGUGGGGGCCUGCGGGGCGGGGGUGGGCAGGUGGCGUUUGAGGCAGGGACCGUGCUCGGCUGCCUGCAUCGGCAGCAUAGCUGCAACGCGCGUGUCUCCGGCUUCUCCGCAUCACGCGAUGUGGGGCCUGUGGCAGAAUGUACACGUUGCAGGAAAAAUAAGAUAUGUCGUGCAGCGCUGUGUUGAGGCUUUCUCUUCAGGCUUUCGCCUGCUGUUCUCCUUACCUGUGAAUGGUUGUGCGCAGCGACGCUCCUUUUUUUUGUAGGAGGGUGGGAGGGGAGUGGGUGAGCUGCUGCACUUAAGUGGAAAAAAAAAAACGCAUAAAAACAAGCGACUACGGCGAAGAUAUCUACGAGGGCGCCCCGCUUGUGAGGGUUUCGCCUGCAGCGAUGAGAGGAUGCCGCGCUGUGCGUCAUAAUCCCUUGUAAAAACGCACACCUGUGAACACAGUUGUGCGUGUGGGUCGUCCGCAUCGCUGCGCAAACUCCUCCCGCAUGGAUGAAUCCGGUGUGGCCACCGUGUGGGUGCGCGGUCAGCAGCUUUCGCGCUGCUCCGUGUCCCGAUUGGUAAAUUGCUGACCGAUACGACUUUGGCUUUUCCUUUUGCUUCGCUCUUCGUCAUCGUCGAUGCUUGAGUGACACGGAGGAUGCACCACUGCACCUUCGUGUGCCGCAUCUCUCGCCGUCUGUGCGUUUCACCCGCUCACGCUGGAUGCGGCGCCCACUCAG
RNAcentral lists this unclassified non-coding RNA (1753 nucleotides) under Leishmania donovani. Its description in RNAcentral is "gene:LdHU3.32.5280(CDS-product:hypothetical_prote in_conserved)". Lineage: Eukaryota; Euglenozoa; Kinetoplastea; Trypanosomatida; Trypanosomatidae. The record is from RNAcentral.